UACGGAGGGUGCAAGCAUUGAUCGGAAUUACUGGGCGUAAAGGGCGCGUAGGCGGUAGAAUAAGUCAGAUGUGAAAUUCCGGGGCUCAACCCCGGAGCUGCAUUUGAAACUAUUCAACUAGAGUUCAGUUAGGGUAAACGGAAUUCCACGUGUAGCGGUGAAAUGCGUAGAUAUGUGGAAGAACACCGGUGGUGAAGACGGUUUACUGGGCUGAUACUGUCGCUGAGGCGCGAAAGCAAGGGGAUCAAACAGG
RNAcentral lists this ribosomal RNA (253 nucleotides) under uncultured bacterium. Its description in RNAcentral is "partial 16S ribosomal RNA". It matches the Rfam family "Bacterial small subunit ribosomal RNA", at positions 524 to 776 of the family's 1533-position model. The record is from RNAcentral.